AAAAAAACAAACCCUGAUUUCCGUGCCCAACGUUUGACCAUCUGUCUUAUUUGAAAAAAUUAUGAAAAAAAUUAAAAAGACAAGUUACGUAUAAAAUAUUAAUCAUGUUUUAUUAUCUAACACAAAUAAAAAUACGAAUUAUAAAAAAAAUUUAUAUAAGACAAAAAUUUUAUAUAAGACGGACAGUUAAAGUUAGACACGAAAAUCCAGGUUUGCCUUUUUU
Molecule: microRNA precursor, 223 nt
Organism: Oryza sativa Japonica Group (Japanese rice)
Lineage: Eukaryota; Viridiplantae; Streptophyta; Magnoliopsida; Poales; Poaceae
Rfam family: MIR812 microRNA precursor family
Source: Rfam